RNAcentral lists this ribosomal RNA (515 nucleotides) under Streptomyces sp. 310B07. RNAcentral's name for it is "bacterial SSU rRNA". It matches the Rfam family "Bacterial small subunit ribosomal RNA", at positions 93 to 622 of the family's 1533-position model. Lineage: Bacteria; Bacillati; Actinomycetota; Actinomycetes; Kitasatosporales; Streptomycetaceae. The record is from RNAcentral.
CAGUGGCGAACGGGUGAGUAACACGUGGGCAAUCUGCCCUGCACUCUGGGACAAGCCCUGGAAACGGGGUCUAAUACCGGAUAUGACCAUUGACCGCAUGGUUGGUGGUGUAAAGCUCCGGCGGUGCAGGAUGAGCCCGCGGCCUAUCAGCUUGUUGGUGGGGUGAUGGCCUACCAAGGCGACGACGGGUAGCCGGCCUGAGAGGGCGACCGGCCACACUGGGACUGAGACACGGCCCAGACUCCUACGGGAGGCAGCAGUGGGGAAUAUUGCACAAUGGGCGAAAGCCUGAUGCAGCGACGCCGCGUGAGGGAUGACGGCCUUCGGGUUGUAAACCUCUUUCAGCAGGGAAGAAGCGCAAGUGACGGUACCUGCAGAAGAAGCACCGGCUAACUACGUGCCAGCAGCCGCGGUAAUACGUAGGGUGCGAGCGUUGUCCGGAAUUAUUGGGCGUAAAGAGCUCGUAGGCGGCUUGUCGCGUCGGAUGUGAAAGCCCGGGGCUUAACUCCGGGUCC